GAAUAAAUGAAAAUCACUGACUUAUUGUCUUAGAUUCUUUUAGUCAUUCAAUUCAAUCUAUUCUGUAGGCCUACAACUGUGUCUUCAAAUCGCUGAUAUAACUAAUCAAUAGUUGAUUCCUGACGAUAUAGGUAAUGUUUUUGUGUAUACCAUUUUCAAGCCAAUUACUGGUCAAUAAAUAUUAUGUUGUGAAUAGAUAUAAUCAGCUUUGUUCUUUUGUUUCCCCAGAACAACCUGUAUUUCUAAAAUCAUCUGAACAUUUCAGAGGCAAUGUUGAAUUACAUGACUGGGGUUGCAUUAUGCCUGAGAUCUGCUUUUGGGUUCCACAUACAAAGUCAAACAGCAGGGACCUCGGUAAGCUGAAGUGUACAAGCCGAAUAAAAAUCCUAUGGAGAAAAUCAUUGAAGUGCCUGGACCAUCCACCAGAAAAGAGGAAAAACAAACGGAAAAUGAAGCUGCUGCAUCUUUUCGCUUUUCUCACUUGAGUACCUCACACGUCCCUUGUGAAGAUUGCAUUUUAUGUUGCAGCGAGCAGAGGUGCGGUCACAUUUUGUGAAAUACACAGGCAAAAAGUUCAUUGAUCAUUGUCAUCAGUGUAGCGACGAGCACAGCUCACACAGGAGUCACUUCCAAGGAGCUUUCUGGUGGUCAAACCCAGACAAUUCCAGUGACCAACUUGGGCUCAUUUUUGACCACACAUGAAAUUGCUGAUUGUGUGGAUUCUUAUUAAAAUGACUGAAAAUUCAGUGAACAACAGAUAAAUAGUAACAUUUUACAG
Pimephales promelas (fathead minnow) is the source of this 778-nucleotide non-coding RNA. The record is from RefSeq and is a predicted model, not a curated record. NCBI's taxonomy places the organism in Eukaryota, Metazoa, Chordata, Actinopteri, Cypriniformes, Leuciscidae.